GUAUAAGAGACAGCAGUAGCCACGGUAAUACAGAGGGUGCGAGCGUUAAUCGGAUUUACUGGGCGUAAAGCGUGCGUAGGCGGCUUCUUAAGUCGGAUGUGAAAUCCCUGAGCUUAACUUAGGAAUUGCAUUCGAUACUGGGAAGCUAGAGUAUGGGAGAGGAUGGUAGAAUUCCAGGUGUAGCGGUGAAAUGCGUAGAGAUCUGGAGGAAUACCGAUGGCGAAGGCAGCCAUCUGGCCUAAUACUGACGCUGAGGUACGAAAGCAUGGGGAGCAAACAGGAUUAGAUACCCCUGUAGUCCCUGUCUCUUAUAC
RNAcentral lists this ribosomal RNA (314 nucleotides) under uncultured bacterium. RNAcentral's name for it is "partial 16S ribosomal RNA". It matches the Rfam family "Bacterial small subunit ribosomal RNA", at positions 495 to 807 of the family's 1533-position model. The record is from RNAcentral.